AAUAUUUUCUAUAUAGAGUAGAAUUCUUAUUUUAAUCUUAUUCCUAAAUUGAGUUAGACUCUUAAUCAGAUUAUGAUUAAGAGAAUUAACAGUAUAAAUAGGAAAAUAAUGGAAAUGUUAUUUGGCUUCACCCGUAGUGAGUGGUUUUGCCUAUGGAGAGAGGUUUUCGCCUAUUGUAGAAAGGGACUUUGGUAAUUGUUAAGGAUUUGGAUCUUCCCACUGAUGAGGGGCACUUGCUUAUUGUAGUGGAGAAAGGUUUUGGCCUAAGAUGGAAAAAGGGUAUCGAAUUCAAGAGAAAGAGAUUUUUGUCCAUUGAUGAGAGAGCUCUUGCUCAUAUAGUUAAAGACACACUUGUGGUGUAGUAGUUGUAAUAUUAAAUUUAUUGGGUUAUGUUUAGAGAAGAAUGAGAGGAUUAACUAAUAUAUUCAAUAUGAGCAGUUACAUAGUGUGGUUCUUUUCGGUGUAAUUGGGUUAAUGGGUAGUGUAACUUGAGCUUGUAAUUAAUGAUUUAUUAUUAUUAAUAGUGGAAAUGGUAUGUCCGUGGAUGUAGCUCUAUGUUGAGAAAGUGAACGGUGUAAAUAUUAGUGUUUUGUAUAUU
RNAcentral lists this unclassified non-coding RNA (598 nucleotides) under Hevea brasiliensis (rubber tree). The record is from RNAcentral. Lineage: Eukaryota; Viridiplantae; Streptophyta; Magnoliopsida; Malpighiales; Euphorbiaceae.